UACGGAGGGUGCGAGCGUUAAUCGGAGUAACUGGGCGUAAAGGGUCCGCAGGCGGUCUUUCAAGUGAGAUGUGAAAUCCCCGAGCUUAACCUGGGAAUAGCAUUUCAGACUGGGAGUCUAGAGUACUUUAGGGAGGGGUAGAAUUCCACGUGUAGCGGUGAAAUGCGUAGAGAUGUGGAGGAAUACCGAAGGCGAAGGCAGCCCCCUGGGAAUGUACUGACGCUCAUGGGCGAAAGCGUGGGGAGCAAACAGG
This 253-nucleotide ribosomal RNA is filed under the name uncultured bacterium. RNAcentral's name for it is "partial 16S ribosomal RNA". It matches the Rfam family "Bacterial small subunit ribosomal RNA", at positions 524 to 776 of the family's 1533-position model. The record is from RNAcentral.